AAUUUUUGACAAUGGGGGGAACCCUGAUCCAGCCAUCCCGCGUGUGCGAUGAAGGNCUNNGGGUUNUNAAGCACUUUGGGCCGNNNNNAAAAGGCUCUGGUUAAUACCCGGAGCUGCUGACGGUACCUGCAGAAUAAGCACCGGCUAACUACGUGCCAGCAGCCGCGGUAAUCCGUAGGGUGAAAGCGUUAAUCGGAAUUACUGGGCGUAAAGCGUGCGCAGGCGGUUUGGCAAGAAGGAUGUGAAAUCCAAGGGCUUAACCUUGGAACUGCAUUCUUAACUGACAGGCUAGAGUAUGUCAGAGGGGGGUAGAAUUCCGCGUGUAGCAGUGAAAUGCGUAGAGAUGCGGAGGAAUACCGAUGGCGAAGGCAGCCCCCUGGGAUAAUACUGACGCUCAUGCACGAAAGCGUGGGGAGCAAAC
This 421-nucleotide ribosomal RNA is filed under the name uncultured bacterium. Its description in RNAcentral is "partial 16S ribosomal RNA". It matches the Rfam family "Bacterial small subunit ribosomal RNA", at positions 360 to 773 of the family's 1533-position model. The record is from RNAcentral.